UGACACCCCACUUGUCCUUGUGUGU
RNAcentral lists this non-coding RNA (25 nucleotides) under Rattus norvegicus (Norway rat). The record is from RNAcentral. Lineage: Eukaryota; Metazoa; Chordata; Mammalia; Rodentia; Muridae.